RNA transcript from Neofelis nebulosa (Clouded leopard), 3551 nucleotides. It is a transcript of the gene named collagen alpha-1(I) chain-like, with no coding region annotated. The transcript has 3 exons. The record is from RefSeq and is a predicted model, not a curated record. Lineage: Eukaryota; Metazoa; Chordata; Mammalia; Carnivora; Felidae.
GAAAAAAAAAAAAAUCCCAUAAAAAUGCUACGCCCUCCACCGGCCUGACACCGUUCGCUGGGGUGUCGCGCUGGGGAGGAGAUGAAGGAGCCUCGAACACCGGAGGCAGAGGGACAGCGGCCCGAUGUAAUUUCUUCCACAAUGGGAGAGACCCUUGCCCCCGGCGCAGACGGAGGGUGCGCGUUAGAAAUCAGGCGUGCUGCCGGCGAACGCGGUAGGCGGGGGGCGACCCCGACCCGGAGCCGGCAGGGAAGCCCGGCCCCCAGCAGGGGUCAGCGGCGGCGCGGGUCGCACGGGCUGCAGGCCGAACAGGGGCCUCCGGGGCCGGCGGGAGAAGCGGUCCUUACCUGUCCCUGGGCGCGGACUGUGACUGCGGCGCCGCCCGGGAAGGGCUGGGGCGCGCGGGUCGGCCGCCGGCACCCGGACGGGCGAAGAGCGAGGAGCGGAGGGCGAGGGGCGCGGACGGCGGACUGGCUCCCGGGCUCCCGCAGGCUUGCCCGGCCGGACGCAGCGGCUCCCGGCGCCCGCAGCGGGUCGCUCAGUCACGCCGGCGGCCCCGCGGCGCGGUGGCUGACACGGAGACAGCGGGAACCGGCCCCCGAGAGGAGCCGCAGCCCCAGCGGCAGCCGAAGGAGGCGAAGGAGGGGCGGGGCCACAGGGUCGGUGACCCGCUCACCCGGAAGCAGUUGCGGCGGCGGCGGCGGCGGCGCGCGCUGCGGGACAGGCGGGUUCGCGGCCUGGCGAACCGCGGCCGGCUGCGCGGGGUGCCGGGAGCAGCGCCCCCGCCGCGACCGCCGCGAGCUGCUGGCGCCGCGCCGGAGGGAGGGCGGCAGGGUGCGACCGCCGGUGGGCGGAGGCCCGGGCGGCCUAGAGGUGGCUUCUCGGGGCCCGCGGAGGACCGGGGACCGGGAAGGUGAACUGAGGCGGUCGCCCGCUCGAGGCUGCACCUGCCCCGAUCGCCCCUAAACUGUCCGGCCUAGUGGGCUUGGGUAAGUGGGCCGGGCGGCGGCUCCGACUGCAGGGAACGAGCGUGCGAGAGCGAGCGGGUGUAGCGGCAACGCUGAAAGCCCUAUUUCCAAAAUGAAAACCCGUGAUUUUGAAAUGAUUUCCGGAGGAGGCGGCGGCGGUGGUUUGGGGGGAGGGGGGGGAGGCGGAGAUGGCGGGAUAUGGAGGCAGUUAAAUAUCUGCCAGACCCGGACCUGUCGUUCAUUCCAGAAGGGUCUCUUGAGACUCCGCAGGUUCAAGGCGCUGGAGGCAGACCCAGGGCCUUGCUCUUUAGGAAGCUUACCUUCUAGUGGAGUAGAGAGAUUUAAGCAGACAGACAAGGUAAAGACGGAUUGUGGCAAGGCUAUGCCAUGCAGGAAAUACAGAAUAAUGAUGCGAGGGUUGAGUGGGCCAGACCUCCUUUUUCGGGAUAGGAUGGCUAGAGAACCUCUGGAGGGAAGUGAUAGUUGAGCUGCUUCCUGAGACAAAGGCGUGAAAUGACAGCUUAGACACAGUGUUACAGCCGGGGACUGUAGGUUCCAGAACUGCUGCGUAAGGCCGCGGAUUACGUUAAAAACCUGUCUCCAAAGCCUGCUUCUUUUUUUUUUUUUUUUUUUAAUUUUCCUUUUAAUGUUUAUUUUUUGAGAGAGAGAGAGAGAGAGAGAGAGACAGCGCGAGCGGGGGAAGGGCAUAGAGAGAGAGGGAGACCCAGAAUCCCAAGCAGGCUCCAGGCUCUGAGCUGCCAGCACAGAGCCCGACGAUGGGCUCGAACUCACAAGCCCUGGGAUCAUGAACUGAGCCAAAGUGGGACGCUUCACCGACGGAGCCACACAGGCGCCCCCUCUAAAGCCUUCUAAGGCCUGUCUCUGUCCUGUCCACUCCUUCAGUUUCGAAGGGCUUGCUCCCCCUUGGGAGUUGUUGGGGUCUGGGACUGUGGCUUCUUAGCGGAGGUUCAAGGCAGGAAUUAGGGAGCUUUGGUGUGUAGACAGACAUCAACAGAUGCUUGAAGGCAAACAGCCUCGAGAGACAAAUUCUUUAACCUUUUGCCGUUUCUUUUCCCACGUCACUUUUUCUGAAACCCAUGAGUAAGCAUUAAAACUAUGAUUUUUACCUGGGAGCUUAAUCCUCCCAAAAGAUGGAGCUCUGUUAUGAUCUGAAUAAGAGAAUUAAUGACCUAUUUUGCUAAAUCAGUUAAAGACAAAAUUAAAAGCUGACUUGCGAAGAGAGGACCUUUUCAGGUUAUAACGCAUUACCUGAAUAAUACCAAAAAACCCAAUAAUGUUUAUUCAAUAUUAGUUUAUAUAACUGCGUAAUUAAUGCAAUGAUUGUUUGGAUAAUAAUAGUGGGAUUAGAAUCUCGAGCCCUUUUUGCUUACUCCUCGGCCAUUUGUUUUGGUUCAUACCAAACUAACAGAAGGAAAUAUUUUGUUGUGUCUUCUGGGAAAACUGGGAGCGAGCUCACACUUCUUGCUGCCUACUGUUUGGACAGCAUUGUGCUAGGCAUUUAAAUACAUUAUCCCUUUCAGGACUGGGACCAACCUUGAGAUACGGGGAUUAUUAUACCCAUUGUCGUAACGAAGACAUAGUCGCUGGAAGGAUUAACAAAUGACAGUCAGUAAGCUUGCCACAGUGCUCCUCUGGAAUUACAAGCUUACUACGACAAUUCUGUGUUUCAGCACGCUUAAAAGGAAGUCAUUUAUCAAAUUUUGCUGCGGGAAAUGGAUAACGUGUUGGCUCUCUGUAUCAUUCUGGAAUUUCGGAUGGCUUCUCCAGUUUGCUGCUUCCCUGGACACCAAACAUAACAUUCCCUGUUCUAGGACCUGCUUCAAGUUGGUCGUAAGACUGGCAGAAAGUCAAACCAAACUAAAUGAAUAGUUGUUGAAGUUAAUCUCACGUCCUGGAGCUGUGUGUGCUAUGGAAUAGCCUGCUGUUGUUACCAGGCAUAACGCUGAUCAGAAUCACUGCCCUGUGGUCUUGUUCAUCAGAAUUUCAUGUUUGGAAAUUAGAUUUGGGUCUGGUUACUGUAAAAAUAGAUAUUAUGAUAAUGGAAUAUAGCCGUUAAAAUUUCUAUUGCAGGAGAAAUUAGCCAUGUAUUUAAAUGUAGGAGUAUGUUACUAAACAAUAUGUUCAAGAUGAUUCCAGUAUUGUUUAAUGUUAUGCAGACAUAGACAAAUACUGGAAAAAGGCACUCAAAGUUCACUUUAAGGAAUGGAGGUACCAGUGAUUUCAUUUGACUUGUUUACUGUUCAGAAUCUUCCUAGAUGAAAUGUACUACAUCUAUACUCAGAUAAUUUUUAAAGGAAUCUAUUUUUCAUACCAAUACCCCAGAGUCAAAAUACGCAAAAGAUACCACUAAAGAGUGGUAAAUUAGGUCUACCUAAAAAGGUCUUAUUACGAUUCUCGCCACUCAAAAACCAUUGUAGAUUUUGCUCUUGUCUUGCAUGCAUCGUUUUUUUCUUUCACUCUAAAAAAUCAUGUACUAGAUGCUAGGAGUAAAUGAACAAUACAGGUGUGGCUUCUGCCCUCUCAGAACUAACUAGUUGUCUGGGGAAGAUAGAACAAGCCGAC